UACGUAGGGGCCAAGCGUUGUCCGGAUUUAUUGGGCGUAAAGAGCUCGUAGGCGGUUCGGCAAGUCAGCUGUGAAAUCUCCACGCUCAACGUGGAGGGGUCAGCUGAUACUGCUGUGACUUGAGUCCGGUAGGGGAGUGUGGAAUUCCCGGUGUAGCGGUGAAAUGCGCAGAUAUCGGGAGGAACACCAGUAGCAAAGGCAGUUCACUGGCAGUCAUCUGACGCUGAGGCGCGAAAGCGUGGGUAGCAAACAGG
Molecule: ribosomal RNA, 254 nt
Filed under: uncultured bacterium
Lineage: Bacteria
Description: partial 16S ribosomal RNA
Rfam family: Bacterial small subunit ribosomal RNA
Source: RNAcentral